AUCAAGGGAUUCACACUUACUAGUAAGCUGUAAAGUGUUCACAGAUUUAAGGAGGCUGCACUUGGGGCCCAGCUAGGAGUGAGGCGGCCCAGGCAGGAAGGAGCAGGAGGCUGCUGGGAUCCUAAUCCCCACUUGAAUUCCUAUGUCAAAGAGGCUGGGUCUUUGCCCCCAGCUCUCCUGCCACAGUCAAGGGGAGCAACUUGGAAGAACAUUCAUCACCCAUCCCCUAGUCAUUCCUCCUGUUGAUUAUAGCCCUCUAUAUAAAGCAGGAGGCACUGCCUGGAAUCAGAGAUAAACCAAGUCCACAGGGCCUAGGAGUAAGGGCCUUUGGCCUCCUGAAGUUUAUGCUUUUCGGGUCUUAAAGGAUGCUGGACCCCGAGAGUUGGACUCCAGAGCUAAAGGCUUAGAAAAUAUAAACAAAAUACAAAAUGUAAGCAAAGAGUUGUCUCAAGCCUUUAUAUAACCAACAGCACUUCCCUCAAGUGACAGGGAACACUGUGCAUUGAUGAAGAUGAUGAAGGACAGAUGGGACCCAGAAAGAGAGCAAGGUGUGCCUAUGGAAACAGCCCUCAACCACACUUGCCAGAGAAGCAGGUGGCCACCAUCAGCACAGAGCCUAGAAAAGAUAAGGCAGUCCAGUGGGUGUCUACCUGGAGCUCUUGAGCCCCCUCACCCCAGGAUGCCGCUCAGCUCCGGGUGUGCCCAGGCAGAGCACUGAUCCACCGGCCCCUCAGCCGCACCCACUGAGGACUGACGCCCCAGGAUGGGAAGCAUGCCUGGACCGGUGGGGACAGCCAGAUGGACUCCAGUCGAUUUGCCUUGGACAGCUGGGGAGCAGGGCCCAGGAUGCUCCCACCCCACCCCACCACUCCAGACAGGGAGGGGUGUGGUUGCAAUUUCUAGGAUUUCUCUGCCACUAUGCCCAUCAAGAAGUGCCACCUGCCUCAUCAGUACCAGGGCUGACCCUCAGAGCCUCCCACAGGUGGGGUUUGCCCAGCGGCCAAGAGUCUUUAAUACACCCCACAAUUACCAGCCUCUUCUAGCAUUCCCCCUGCACCCUCAAA
This 1064-nucleotide long non-coding RNA is filed under the name Homo sapiens (human). Its description in RNAcentral is "HSALNT0212564". The record is from RNAcentral. Lineage: Eukaryota; Metazoa; Chordata; Mammalia; Primates; Hominidae.